This 800-nucleotide ribosomal RNA is filed under the name uncultured bacterium. RNAcentral's name for it is "bacterial SSU rRNA". It matches the Rfam family "Bacterial small subunit ribosomal RNA", at positions 9 to 806 of the family's 1533-position model. The record is from RNAcentral.
GAGUUUGAUCCUGGCUCAGGAUGAACGCUAGCGGCAGGCCUAAUACAUGCAAGACGAGCGGUAAGUGUGGUAGCAAUACUAUACGAGAGCGUCGUAAGGGUGCGUAACACGUAUGCAAUCUGCCCUCAACAGGAGGAUAGCUCCCCGAAAGGGGAAUUAACACUCCAUAAGAUCGUAGAGUGGCAUCAUUCAGCGAUUAAAACUCUGGUGGUUGAGGAUGAGCAUGCGGAUGAUUAGCUAGUUGGUGAGGUAACGGCUCACCAAGGCGAUGAUCAAUAGGGGAACUGAGAGGUUGAUCCCCCACACUGGCACUGAGAUACGGGCCAGACUCCUACGGGAGGCAGCAGUAGGGAAUAUUGGACAAUGGUUGCAAGACUGAUCCAGCCAUGCCGCGUGCAGGAAGAAGGCUUUCUGAGUUGUAAACUGCUUUUGCCAGGGGAUAAAAAGUCCUUGCGGGGAAAAUUGAAGGUACCUGGUGAAUAAGCCACGGCUAACUACGUGCCAGCAGCCGCGGUAAUACGUAGGUGGCAAGCGUUGUCCGGAUUUAUUGGGUUUAAAGGGUGCGUAGGCGGUGUCCUAAGUCAGUUGUGAAAUACGGCAGCUUAACUGUCGAGGUGCAAUUGAUACUGGGACACUUGAGUACUGAUGAGGUAAGCGGAAUGGACGGUGUAGCGGUGAAAUGCUUAGAUAUCGUCCAGAACACCGAUAGCGAAGGCAGCUUACUAAGGAGUAACUGACGCUGAGGCACGAAAGUGUGGGGAUCAAACAGGAUUAGAUACCCUGGUAGUCCACACUGUAAA